GAUGAACGCUGGCGGCGUGCCUAAUACAUGCAAGUCGAGCGAACGGACGAGAAGCUUGCUCCUCUGAUGUUAGCGGCGGACGGGUGAGUAACACGUGGAUAACCUACCUAUAAGACUGGGAUAACUUCGGGAAACCGGAGCUAAUACCGGAUAAUAUUUUGAACCGCAUGGUUCAAAAGUGAAAGACGGUCUUGCUGUCACUUAUAGAUGGAUCCGCGUUGCCUUAGCUAGUUGGUAAGGGAACGGCUUACCAAGGCAACGAUGCGUAGCCGACCUGAGAGGGUGAUCGGCCACACUGGAACUGAGACACGGUCCAGACUCCUACGGGAGGCAGCAGUAGGGAAUCUUCCGCAAUGGGCGAAAGCCUGACGGAGCAACGCCGCGUGAGUGAUGAAGGUCUUCGGAUCGUAAAACUCUGUUAUUAGGGAAGAACAUAUGUGUAAGUAACUGUGCACGUCUUGACGGUACCUAAUCAGAAAGCCACGGCUAACUACGUG
RNAcentral lists this ribosomal RNA (497 nucleotides) under uncultured bacterium. RNAcentral describes it as "partial 16S ribosomal RNA". It matches the Rfam family "Bacterial small subunit ribosomal RNA", at positions 28 to 507 of the family's 1533-position model. The record is from RNAcentral.